AUCAAAAACAUAGUCGGCAGCCAACUAUUUUGUAAUUGUCGAUAACUUCUGCCCGGUGUUCUUAAUAAACGGCCGCAGUACCUUGACUGUGUUAAGGUAGCAUAAUCAAUUGGCUAUUAAUUGUAGUCUAGUAUGAAUGAAGUAAUGGAUAGUAGCUAUAAUAAAAAAUUUUUUUUUAAUUUAAUGAACUGGUGAAAAUACCAGUGAUAAGAAAAAAGACGAGAAGACCCUUAGAGUUUUUAAUAAAGUUUGAUAAGACUUUGAUGAUACCAUCUUAAAGUAUAUAAUACAGAACACUUUUUUGUUGGGGCGGCAAGAAAGCAUUGAAACCUUCCUAAUUACUCUAAAAUAUUAGCAUCAGAUCUGCGAUAUUUUUAUGAUUAGGU
This 386-nucleotide ribosomal RNA is filed under the name Physella acuta. RNAcentral describes it as "partial 16S ribosomal RNA". The stretch from base 1 to 205 matches the Rfam family "Archaeal large subunit ribosomal RNA", at positions 1898 to 2143 of the family's 2987-position model. The record is from RNAcentral. Lineage: Eukaryota; Metazoa; Mollusca; Gastropoda; Physidae.